Molecule: long non-coding RNA, 269 nt
Filed under: Elaeis guineensis (African oil palm)
Lineage: Eukaryota; Viridiplantae; Streptophyta; Magnoliopsida; Arecales; Arecaceae
Description: long non-coding RNA (EGUI_LNC018654)
Source: RNAcentral
CACGUGUAUAAUAACCUAAGAUGAUCAAAGGGAGAGGGGGCGAUGGUUUAUUGACGGAGGUCUUUGAGUUGUUCGGCGUGGGUCCGAGGGUUGAUGCCCUUGCGAAGGAAAUGCCAAAUGGCGGGGGAAGGGGAGAGUUCUUGGAUGGAGUUGAGGCCAAGCUGAGAUUUGAGCCGGGCAAUGUCCUUCGGGAUCAGGAAGAUUUGGUGAUGAUGGGGGAGAUGGUGGUGGUAGGAUAGGAGGAGGAGAAGAAAGAGUAGAGGGAGGGA